AGCAGUAGCCGCGGGAAUACGUAGGGUGCAAGCGUUAAUCGGAAUUACUGGGCGUAAAGCGUGCGCAGGCGGUUCGUUAAGACAGAUGUGAAAUCCCCGGGCUUAACCUGGGAACUGCAUUUGUGACUGGCGGGCUAGAGUAUGGCAGAGGGGGGUAGAAUUCCACGCGUAGCAGUGAAAUGCGUAGAGAUGUGGAGGAAUACCGAUGGCGAAGGCAGCCCCCUGGGCCAAUACUGACGCUCAUGCACGAAAGCGUGGGGAGCAAACAGGAUUAGAGACCCCUGUAGUCCCUGUCUCUUAUAC
Molecule: ribosomal RNA, 303 nt
Filed under: uncultured bacterium
Lineage: Bacteria
Description: partial 16S ribosomal RNA
Rfam family: Bacterial small subunit ribosomal RNA
Source: RNAcentral